This 373-nucleotide ribosomal RNA is filed under the name uncultured Glomeromycotina. Its description in RNAcentral is "LSU rRNA". The record is from RNAcentral. Lineage: Eukaryota; Fungi; Glomeromycota.
UUGAAAGGGAAACGAUUGAAGUCAGUCGUACCGACGAGAAAUCAGCUUAUCGUGUGUUAACUUGUGGGCGUGCGUGAGUUUCGGCCUCGCUGUUUGCAAUGCUUGUUCUUUUUGGGUGUACUUUUUCGUAUGGUAGGCCAACAUCAGUUUCGAAUACCAUAAAAUGACCGGCGGAAUGUAGCUCCGAUCUCGUAUUGAAGUGUUAUAGCCUUCGGCAGAUGUGACGAUCGGGAUUGAGGAUUGCAACGGAUACCCUUCGGGGCUACCUGUCUGAUCUCUGAUUGUUGCUCUGGUACCGAAAGCUUGCUUACGGUUAUCAAAGUCGAUUGUCAAUAGGUUAGAACGGGUUAAAUUCGUUAAGGAUGUUGACGUA